CCAAUAAGACUGGGGAGGAAGCUGAAGACCGAAGAAGAGAACAAAGAUAAAAGCUAAUAGCACUAAAGACAACAGCCAACAUCAACCUUCUUAUCAAGGAUUUGUUCCACCAGCCCCCGUCGUACAAGACCAACAUCGCACUUUCAUGGAAGCCAGCAUCUGCAUCCAGCAAACCAGCAGUUAAUGGGGCUGAAAAACGACACACACCAAUUACUUUUGAUUCAACAAGUCCAAAGAGCAUGAAGGGAGAACGGCAGAUAUAUGCUCCACCGAGAGACAAGUACAGCCAGAGGGCAGGGCAGUACUCUGGUGGCACUUUCCGUGGACGAGGCAGAGGACGAGGGAGAGGAUUUGGGUAUAGCUCAAGCCGUGGGAUGCCCUAUAGAGGUGGUUUCCGAGGAAGGAGAGGAAACUUUAGGGGCUACUAGUCUGCUAAAAAAAAAAAAAAGGAAGAAAGAAAUAAAAAAAAUUAAGGUUAAGAAAUAGAAGAAAAAGUUCUGGAGAGAAAUUAUGGUACAGUGAAUUUUGUGACCUGACCAUUAUUGAUUCGGAAAUUUGCAAACACAAGAGGAUUUUAUAUUCUACAUGAACCUUGUUGGGAUUUUGAUUUUUGAAUUCAGUGUUUGCUGAUUUUAGAGGCUUGCUUUGUUGAUAAAGCUUCAGGUUUAUAUUCGUGUUCUUGGAUGAAAAAGUUUACUGAAGGCAUUAUGGUCUUCAGAUACUUAUAUGCAAAACUUGUAAUUCUAUUUCAUUAAGUGAAUGUUAUAUUUUCAUUUUAUAUUUAUGGUUUUAAUGGAAUUCAAAAAAUCUUGAAAAUUAUCUUUAAUUCUCAUUAUAACAGGAGAAUAGUUAACACUUCAGUUGACUUUAAGUUUGCUUUAAUACUGUAGACAUCAUUUAUGUCUAGUUUAGCUAUGAUUUUGUUUGCUCUGAGUAAUCAUAUGUAUAUAAGCAUUUGUAGAAAAAAUAAUAAUGCAGAAGACAUGGAUAGGAGUCAGAAAAUUAUGGUUUGAAUUUAGAUUGUUGAAAAUAUAAAGAUGUGGAAUCUGUUAACCACAUAUAUGUCAA
Non-coding RNA from Penaeus vannamei (Pacific white shrimp), 1068 nucleotides. Lineage: Eukaryota; Metazoa; Arthropoda; Malacostraca; Decapoda; Penaeidae. The record is from RefSeq and is a predicted model, not a curated record.